Molecule: long non-coding RNA, 412 nt
Organism: Syngnathus acus (greater pipefish)
Lineage: Eukaryota; Metazoa; Chordata; Actinopteri; Syngnathiformes; Syngnathidae
Exons: 2
Source: RefSeq, a predicted model, not a curated record
CAUCCUGCCAGGCAUCCUCUUCUUCUUCAGUGGUUCCCUGGCGGAGGUAGCUGGCAGGGACGUAACCGAAGACCCCUCGUUGCUCAGCCCACCACCACUCUGAGGCAAUCAAUCGCAGGACUUGCCUCCAUGCCAAAAUAAGAGUGCAGUCAGCCAUGAUGCAGAUUCGAGCCAGCUCCUUCAAUGCAUGAUGGGGGUCUUUCUGUGAGGGACAGCCCCAACAAUACAUGUUACAAAAAUACAAUGGAUGCUUCAAAACGUUUCCAUUGAAAAUUAUGACACUUUAUACUCACCACAUCCACUUGAACAAGUAAAACUCGAAGGGUGAAGCUUUGUCCAAGCUGCUUAAGUCGCUCAUGGAUAUAGUUUGGAUUCAGAUUGUGAUAUCUCAAACUUUGCGCCAGUUGAAAAA